Molecule: long non-coding RNA, 359 nt
Organism: Juglans microcarpa x Juglans regia
Lineage: Eukaryota; Viridiplantae; Streptophyta; Magnoliopsida; Fagales; Juglandaceae
Exons: 3
Source: RefSeq, a predicted model, not a curated record
UAAACCUUCGAGGAGCAGGACCACCGUCAGAGCGCCGUAAGUCUCUCUCUCUCUCUCUUUGAGACAGGCUUUUAGAUCUCCACUGUAAGUCAACCUCCAUCUUCCAUGAAACCCACUAGACGGAUUUUAUAGAGAUUAUGAAGGUUGAUCAGAUAAGGUACUAAAUGCAGACCCUCUGCUCAUAGGAAAUCAGCUUCAGGAUUUUAAGUUUUAUCCACCAACUAGGUCUAUUUUUCUUGUAUAUACUUGGGCUAUGCCUGUCGGUCUGAUCUAGAGCUCCUCCACGGGGACCGGAGGUCGUAUGGCAUGUGGCGACGUGCGUUUGAAUGUGGACGAUUUGGGUUGAUGGUUCUAAGUAG